AUCAAUUACACAAUUGGCCAAAUUAUAUGAAGCAAUAAGCAUAAAAGAUAAUCAAUUGAAACUAAUUCAUCAUUCAAUUAGAGGAAAUAAAUUUACAUGAUCCAAUCAAGGUGACCUAGAUUCAGCUAAAGAUCCAAUCUAAGAAAAUUUUGAAAUCCAUGGAAAGAUGGAAGGAAUCAGUGGAUCAUAGAGAUGAAUUCAUCAUGGAUUUAACUUGGAUCUUGAUUCUUCAAUCAAAAUCUUUGGUAGCAAGGAUUGGAACACAACUUUUUCUCAAACUUCUGUAAAAAUUCGCAACCUUCUUCAAGAAAAUGAGUUUGCUUUAUAUAGAAUUCCCGCUGGCGCAACGCGUCAGAUCUGUCGUGCCAUGUACAGGCCAAAUUACGAGCAAGGUGCCACGCGCUAGAUGAAUAUGAGCCACGCGCCGGAUGAACAAUCAACACGCGCCACGCGCAUAAAACAUAUACUCCUCAAGACAAUUCCUCAUAGCCCGGCGCCGCGCGCCACCAAACCAUGCGCCCCGCGCCGCGCACAGAGAACAUAUCUAAUUUCUUCAAAAACUCUUCAAAUCUUCACCUAGUUUUAUAAGAGAUUUGAAAGAGAGAAAAAUAUUGGUUCUCAUAAACCAAGAUCAGAAACAAUCUGACCAACAAAAGAAGUUGAAGCAAUUGUCUUGCACUUGCAU
This 685-nucleotide long non-coding RNA is filed under the name Trifolium pratense (red clover). RNAcentral describes it as "long non-coding RNA (TPRA_LNC012909)". The record is from RNAcentral. Lineage: Eukaryota; Viridiplantae; Streptophyta; Magnoliopsida; Fabales; Fabaceae.